Molecule: transfer RNA, 64 nt
Filed under: Pallenopsis patagonica
Lineage: Eukaryota; Metazoa; Arthropoda; Pycnogonida; Pantopoda; Pallenopsidae
Description: tRNA-Phe
Source: RNAcentral
GUUUAUGUAGCUUAAAUUUAAAGUAUGACAGUGAAGUUGUUGAGAUGAAAAUAUUUUGUGAACA